AGAUCUCGUACCUUUUGCAUCAUGACUUAGCGAGAACCAUCCAAGCAAAGAGUCCUUUAGUUUGGCCCCCCGAAACUAUGGUGAGCUACUCCAAGACAGCCUGUCAUAAAGGGCGAACCCGUCUCUGUGGCAAAAGAGUGGGAAGAGCUUCGAGUAGAGGUGAAAUACCUACCGAACCUAGUUAUAGCUGGUUGUCUGAGAAAUGGAUAUGAGUUCAGCCUCCAGGCUUCCCCCUUCACCACGGUUUGUACCUCUACCGAUAAUUGAGAAACCAGGAGAGUUAGUCAAAGGGGGUACAGCCCUUUUGACACAAGAUACAACUUUUCCAGGUGGGUAAAGAUCAUAAUAUUUUUAAGGUAGUAUGUUCAGGUGGGCUUAAAAGCAGCCACCCUUGCUGAAAGCGUUAAAGCUCAAACAUAAACCACAACCGUAUAUUCAGAUAAUUUAAUCCAAACCCCCUAACACUAUCAGACCAUCUCAUGCAAACAUGAGAGUGCAUAUGCUAAGAUGAGUAAUAAGAAAGCACCUGACUUUCUCCUCGCACACGUGUAAAUCGGAACGAACCCCCACCGAAAUUUAACGGCCCCAAGCAAAGAGGGCAAUAGAUGCUCAGUCUAACAAACCAGAAAACCAUCUAAAAAGAAACCGUUAACCCUACACCGGUGUGCCCCCAAGGAAAGACUAAAAGAAGAAGAAGGAACUCGGCAAACACUAAGCCUCGCCUGUUUACCAAAAACAUCGCCUCUUGCAAACCCAAGAAUAAGAGGUCCAGCCUGCCCAGUGACUAUAAGUUCAACGGCCGCGGUAUUUUAACCGUGCAAAGGUAGCGUAAUCACUUGUCUUUUAAAUGAAGACCCGUAUGAAUGGCUAGACGAGGGCUUAACUGUCUCCUCCUUCAGGUCAAUGAAAUUGAUCUCCCCGUGCAGAAGCGGGGAUGGUACCAUAAGACGAGAAGACCCUAUGGAGCUUCAGACACCCGAGCAUAUCAUGUUAAACACCCUAAGAUAAAAGGUUAAACUUUGUGAACAAAUGCUGCCGUGUCUUCGGUUGGGGCGACCCCGGGGAAACAAAAAACCCCCGCGUGGAAUGAGAGUACUAACUCCCAAAGCUAAGAGCUACCGCUCUAAUAAUCAGAACAUCUGACCAAACCAGAUCCGGUAUAACCGAUCAACGAACCAAGUUACCCUAGGGAUAACAGCGCAAUCCCCUUUUAGAGCCCUUAUCGACAAGGGGGUUUACGACCUCGAUGUUGGAUCAGGACAUCCUAAUGGUGCA
This 1275-nucleotide ribosomal RNA is filed under the name Arripis truttaceus (Western Australian salmon). RNAcentral describes it as "partial 16S ribosomal RNA". It matches the Rfam family "Bacterial large subunit ribosomal RNA", at positions 594 to 2557 of the family's 2925-position model. Lineage: Eukaryota; Metazoa; Chordata; Actinopteri; Scombriformes; Arripidae. The record is from RNAcentral.